Molecule: non-coding RNA, 95 nt
Organism: Anaerolineae bacterium CG2_30_64_16
Lineage: Bacteria; Bacillati; Chloroflexota; Anaerolineae
Source: Rfam
GGGGGUGGUUGCGUCCCGGUGGGCGUCCCGGUCUUCAAAACCGGUGAUGGGUGCUGCUGAGGCGGCCAUGGUGGGUUCGACUCCCAUCCACUCCC